This 500-nucleotide ribosomal RNA is filed under the name uncultured bacterium. RNAcentral's name for it is "partial 16S ribosomal RNA". It matches the Rfam family "Bacterial small subunit ribosomal RNA", at positions 30 to 523 of the family's 1533-position model. The record is from RNAcentral.
AUUGAACGCUGGCGGCAUGCCUUACACAUGCAAGUCGAACGGCAGCACGGGAGCAAUCCUGGUGGCGAGUGGCGAACGGGUGAGUAAUGUAUCGGAACGUGCCCAGUCGUGGGGGAUAACGCAGCGAAAGCUGUGCUAAUACCGCAUACGAUCUAUGGAUGAAAGCGGGGGAUCGCAAGACCUCGCGCGAUUGGAGCGGCCGAUAUCAGAUUAGGUAGUUGGUGGGGUAAAGGCCCACCAAGCCGACGAUCUGUAGCUGGUCUGAGAGGACGACCAGCCACACUGGGACUGAGACACGGCCCAGACUCCUACGGGAGGCAGCAGUGGGGAAUUUUGGACAAUGGGCGCAAGCCUGAUCCAGCAAUGCCGUGUGCAGGAUGAAGGCCUUCGGGUUGUAAACUGCUUUUGUACGGAGCGAAACGGCUUCCACUAAUACUGGGGGCUAAUGACGGUACCGUAAGAAUAAGCACCGGCUAACUACGUGCCAGCAGCCGCGGUAA